Molecule: long non-coding RNA, 567 nt
Filed under: Nicotiana benthamiana
Lineage: Eukaryota; Viridiplantae; Streptophyta; Magnoliopsida; Solanales; Solanaceae
Description: long non-coding RNA (NBEN_LNC007074)
Source: RNAcentral
AAAUAGUCUGUGAAGAAAAUAGAGAGUGAGCGAUGUUGUAGUGAGGUGGAAAUAUCAAAAGAAGGUUAUUUCUUUUUGAGUGUUGUAGUGGUCUUUGGAGUAUUUUCCUCGGACCUACAAAGUGUAAAAUUCCUUACUAUAGUGAUAUCAGUUGCUCCUCUCGGGGUCGUGGUUUUUUCCCUUAUUCAUAAGGGUUUUCCACGUAAAAAUCUUGACGUUAUUGUUACUCUUUUAUUCUUGUUAAUUAGCGUAUCUCGGUGCUACAUUAUUAUUCCGCUUUUAUUACCGUAAAUAUUAUUUUGGUAGGGGGUUUAUUCCCAACAACUGGUAUCAGAGCACAGAUUCUGCAAAGAAGGUUAUUUCUUUUUGAGUGUUGUAGUGGUCUUUGGAGUAUUUUCCUCGGACCUACAAAGUGUAAAAUUCCUUACUAUAGUGAUAUCAGUUGCUGUUCUCAGGGCCGUGGUUUUUUCCCUUAUUCAGAAGGGUUUUCCAUGUAAAAAAUCUUGGUGUCGUUAUUACUCUUUUAUUCUUGUUAAUUACCGUAUCUCGGUGCUAUAUUAUUAUUCC